AGAAGGACGCGGAGACUACGAGGAGGAAUGUUUCGGAGGCGCUGGAACCGGGGAGGUUCCCCGCGCUGGUUGUCAGCCGGCGUCCCAAGGUGUGGUGUCUCCGAGGUCCAGCACGGCGGCUUUUUGUUUACCUAGCCGUCCCCAGCUGCGACGUGGGGAGAAAAGUCUUCGCCUGGAUGUGAAUUUGGAAUGAGAGGCUGAAUAGUAUUUCCGGAGCUUGGCAAGAAACGAAGCAAUGAAGGUGAAAGCCCAGCUGGAUAAUCGUUCAGUGAGAAGGACAAGGAGGAAGGGAAUUGAGGGUGUUGAUGAGACAAGAUCAUGGGACACAGAUGAAAAGGAACGAGGAAAUGUUUAUAUUUCUCUUCUGAAAUCACCUGGAAUUAAUAUUGGUCUACAGAGUGAGAUGGAGAUGGAGCAUUAUUUUUUCCUAAACAGCCGCUUGCCCCAGGCCUGCUGGUUGAGUUUCUCCUUUCUUCACUGAUGUGCUAUGUCACCUUUGUAAUAAAAGAACAUUCUUAUGUGUUCUUGCACUUCAUUGUUUGGCUGCAUUUAUGGAUGUGUUUCUUUGUUUUGCAUCAUUUGUUUCAGGGACAUUUGCGAAGUCAAG
This 607-nucleotide long non-coding RNA is filed under the name Macaca mulatta (Rhesus monkey). RNAcentral describes it as "lncRNA (ENSMMUG00000053756.1)". Lineage: Eukaryota; Metazoa; Chordata; Mammalia; Primates; Cercopithecidae. The record is from RNAcentral.